This 307-nucleotide ribosomal RNA is filed under the name Epimenia babai. RNAcentral describes it as "eukaryotic LSU rRNA". It matches the Rfam family "Eukaryotic large subunit ribosomal RNA", at positions 666 to 946 of the family's 3401-position model. Lineage: Eukaryota; Metazoa; Mollusca; Solenogastres; Cavibelonia; Epimeniidae. The record is from RNAcentral. RNAcentral also lists the same sequence under 1 other name.
CCAAGGAGUCUAACAUGUGCGCGAGUCUCCGGGUGAUCGAAACCCGUGGGCGCAAUGAAAGUAAAGGCCGUCCUCGGACGGUUGAGGUGAGAAGCGGCGUUCACAUUCGUCGCCGCAUCAUCGACCGACCUUGUCUGCUCUCAGAGAGGUUUGAGUAAGAGCGUAUCUGUUGGGACCCGAAAGAUGGUGAACUAUGCCUGAAUAGGGUGAAGCCAGCGGAAACACUGGUGGAAGCUCGUAGCGAUUCUGACGUGCAAAUCGAUCGUCGAAUUUGGGUAUAGCGGCGAAAGACUAAUCGAACCAUCUA